GACGAACGCUGGCGGCGUGCUUAACACAUGCAAGUCGAACGGAAAGGCCCUGCUUUUGUGGGGUGCUCGAGUGGCGAACGGGUGAGUAACACGUGAGUAACCUGCCCUUGACUUUGGGAUAACUUCAGGAAACUGGGGCUAAUACCGGAUAGGAGCUCCUGCUGCAUGGUGGGGGUUGGAAAGUUUCGGCGGUUGGGGAUGGACUCGCGGCUUAUCAGCUUGUUGGUGGGGUAGUGGCUUACCAAGGCUUUGACGGGUAGCCGGCCUGAGAGGGUGACCGGACACAUUGGGACUGAGCUGCGGCACAGACUCCUACGGGAGGCAGCAGUGGGGAAUAUUGCACAAUGGGCGGAAGCCUGAUGCAGCAACGCCGCGUGCGGGAUGACGGCCUUCGGGUUGUAAACCGCUUUCGCCUGUGACGAAGCGUGAGUGACGGUAAUGGGUAAAGAAGCACCGGCUAACUACGUG
RNAcentral lists this ribosomal RNA (468 nucleotides) under uncultured bacterium. Its description in RNAcentral is "partial 16S ribosomal RNA". It matches the Rfam family "Bacterial small subunit ribosomal RNA", at positions 28 to 507 of the family's 1533-position model. The record is from RNAcentral.